GUGGUUAGAUAGCUUCCUGGCACUCCCCAUGUCAAGCAUCAAUAGCAGCCAAAAGUAGCAUAAAUGUAGAUAAACUUGACCUAUUAUAGGAUAAGUCCAGACAAGAAGAUUCUGCAAAAAAAAUAAAAUAAUAAUAAUAAUAAUAAUAAAUAAGAAGAAGAAGAAGAAGAAGAAGAAGAAGAAGCACGGGCAAGUAAUACUACUAGUCUAUAUACAUUUAAGAAAAUAAUAAACUUAUGGAACUAACGUACCUUCGAAUAAAAGAAAUCUUGGCACAUUCUGGUAAUGGUGGUUUUAUGAGCCAUUGUGGGUGGAGUUUUGUCAUUGAAACCAUUUAUUUUGGGGUUCCACUAAUAGCCAUGCCUUAGAAAUUUGAAUAGCCAGUAAAUGCUAGAAUGGUGGUCGAGGCUGGUGCAGUUACGGUUUUGAUAGAGUGAGAUCUCCUCUUCAAUACUGACCACUGCAUGCUGAGAAUUGCAUCGUUCACACACAAGGGUCCUUGAAUGACAUCUAGAUAGCGCAUUUACAUAAGGAACAUUGCAAUCAAAAGAUAAACAGAGGCUAGAGCAUCAGACCUUCAAUGGACCGUAGGCUUUUUCCUCCCCACAAAAAUCACAAAAUUGACAUGUUUUCUUUAACCACUAUGUUCUGACCUCUGCAAGCAUAGCUAAUCACAGAAAUUAAUACUGGCAUAUUAUUUUCGUAGCACCUAAAUACAUCAACUUUAUUGCUUAGCAUUACAUAAUCAAAUUUUUAUAAUCAUGCGUAUAUUUGUUACUUGAGAGAAGUGGAAUAAAAAACCUAUUAUCUUUGUACACAAGUUUUAUGUAAGCAGAACAAUAUCAUAUGCAUAUAGAUAAUCAAACUUCGUAGUUGUAGUUCAUGGUAUUUAAAUAGAGUGGCAUUACAUAAAUAAACCAAGCCCGGUGUUCAAAUCAGCUAAAUUAUCCCAACAACCCAAAAUGAUAUCCAAGGCCACAUAGCCGCAAUUGUGGCCAAGAUAAUCUAAUUGACCACAGAUUAACAUUAAAUGCAAAUGAAAAGUUAUCGAAAGAGUGUGCUCAAAUUGGGCCCUGCAUUUGCCAUCUGCAGUUGCAGCAGUCCAUC
RNAcentral lists this long non-coding RNA (1107 nucleotides) under Olea europaea subsp. europaea. Lineage: Eukaryota; Viridiplantae; Streptophyta; Magnoliopsida; Lamiales; Oleaceae. The record is from RNAcentral.